GUAAGGAAUAUUGGACAAUGGACGCAAGUCUGAUCCAGCCAUGCCGCGUGAAGGAUUAAGGUCCUCUGGAUUGUAAACUUCUUUUAUAAGGGACGAAAAAAGGCUUUUCUAAGUCGUCUGACGGUACCUUAUGAAUAAGCACCGGCUAACUCCGUGCCAGCAGCCGCGGUAAUACGGAGGGUGCAAGCGUUAUCCGGAUUCACUGGGUUUAAAGGGUGCGUAGGCGGGCAGGUAAGUCAGUGGUGAAAUCCUCGAGCUUAACUCUAGAACUGCCAUUGAUACUAUCUGUCUUGAAUAUUGUGGAGGUAAGCGGAAUAUGUCAUGUAGCGGUGAAAUGCUUAGAUAUGACAUAGAACACCUAUUGCGAAGGCAGCUUACUACGCAUAUAUUGACGCUGAGGCACGAAAGCGUGGGGAUCAAACAGGAUUAGAAACCCCGGUAGUCC
This 445-nucleotide ribosomal RNA is filed under the name uncultured bacterium. Its description in RNAcentral is "partial 16S ribosomal RNA". It matches the Rfam family "Bacterial small subunit ribosomal RNA", at positions 354 to 796 of the family's 1533-position model. The record is from RNAcentral.